This 177-nucleotide ribosomal RNA is filed under the name uncultured bacterium. RNAcentral's name for it is "partial 16S ribosomal RNA". It matches the Rfam family "Bacterial small subunit ribosomal RNA", at positions 336 to 526 of the family's 1533-position model. The record is from RNAcentral.
CUCCUACGGGAGGCAGCAGUGGGGAAUUUUGGCGCAAUGGGGGAAACCCUGACGCAGCAACGCCGCGUGGAGGAUGAAGCCCCUUGGGGCGUAAACUCCUUUCGACCAAGACGAUAAUGACGGUACCUGGCAGAAGCAGCUGCGGCUAGCUACGUGCCAGCAGCCGCCGCGUAAUUC